RNAcentral lists this unclassified non-coding RNA (255 nucleotides) under Hevea brasiliensis (rubber tree). The record is from RNAcentral. Lineage: Eukaryota; Viridiplantae; Streptophyta; Magnoliopsida; Malpighiales; Euphorbiaceae.
GUUGAGUUGAGUUAUUGUGGAUAAGUAUCACAGGUUAAUUCUCACACAUUGUACCAAACACACCUCCUCAAUACAAUUAGCAGUAGGAAUAGGACACACCUAAAUAAGGGUUUCAAAAGUAAAGAGAACUCCUAACUCUACAAUCAAACUUUUAAGUAUCAAAUUACAUUUUUAUUCAAUGCAUUGUAACACAUGAAUAAUAAAUCUUUUCAGAUGUUAUAUUAUUAACAUUACUAUGAAGUUGUGGGAGAGAGU